AUUUAAAUAGCUUAAAUUUAGAGCAUAGCAUUGAAGAUGCUGGGGUAAUAUAAUUAUUUUUAAAUA
RNAcentral lists this transfer RNA (66 nucleotides) under Byctiscus populi. Its description in RNAcentral is "tRNA-Phe". It matches the Rfam family "tRNA". From Rfam's summary of the family: Transfer RNA (tRNA) molecules are approximately 80 nucleotides in length. Their secondary structure includes four short double-helical elements and three loops (D, anti-codon, and T loops). Lineage: Eukaryota; Metazoa; Arthropoda; Insecta; Coleoptera; Attelabidae. The record is from RNAcentral.